UGGGGAAUAUUGGACAAUGGGCGCAAGCCUGAUCCAGCCAUGCCGCGUGGGUGAAGAAGGCCUUAGGGUUGUAAACCCCUUUCAGCGGGGAAGAUAAUGACGGUACCCGCAGAAGAAGCCCCGGCUAACUCCGUGCCAGCAGCCGCGGUAAUACGGAGGGGGCUAGCGUUGUUCGGAAUUACUGGGCGUAAAGCGCGCGUAGGCGGACUUUCAAGUCAGGGGUGAAAUCCCGAGGCUCAACCUCGGAACUGCCUUUGAUACUGAUCGUCUUGAGUCCGAGAGAGGUGAGUGGAAUUCCUAGUGUAGAGGUGAAAUUCGUAGAUAUUAGGAAGAACACCAGUGGCGAAGGCGGCCUCCUGGACUAAUACUGACGCUGAGGUGCGAAAGCGUGGGGAGCAAACAGGAUUAGAUACCCCUGUAGUCC
This 424-nucleotide ribosomal RNA is filed under the name uncultured prokaryote. RNAcentral's name for it is "bacterial SSU rRNA". It matches the Rfam family "Bacterial small subunit ribosomal RNA", at positions 355 to 796 of the family's 1533-position model. The record is from RNAcentral.